GUGGGGAAUCUUGCGCAAUGGGCGAAAGCCUGACGCAGCCAUGCCGCGUGAAUGAUGAAGGUCUUAGGAUUGUAAAAUUCUUUCACCGGGGACGAUAAUGACGGUACCCGGAGAAGAAGCUCCGGCUAACUUCGUGCCAGCAGCCGCGGUACUACGAAGGGGGCUAGCGUUGCUCGGAAUUACUGGGCGUAAAGGGCGCGUAGGCGGACAGCUUAGUCAGAGGUGAAAGCCCAGGGCUCAACCUUGGAAUUGCCUUUGAUACUGGCUGUCUUGAGUUUGGGAGAGGUGAGUGGAACUCCGAGUGUAGAGGUGAAAGUCGUAGAUAUUCGGAAGAACACCAGUGGCGAAGGCGACUCACUGGCCCAAUACUGACGCUGAGGCGCGAAAGCGUGGGGAGCAAACAGGAUUAGAUACCCGAGUAGUCC
This 425-nucleotide ribosomal RNA is filed under the name uncultured bacterium. Its description in RNAcentral is "partial 16S ribosomal RNA". It matches the Rfam family "Bacterial small subunit ribosomal RNA", at positions 354 to 796 of the family's 1533-position model. The record is from RNAcentral.